RNAcentral lists this transfer RNA (78 nucleotides) under Candidatus Bathyarchaeota archaeon. RNAcentral describes it as "tRNA-Ala". It matches the Rfam family "tRNA". Rfam says of the family: Transfer RNA (tRNA) molecules are approximately 80 nucleotides in length. The record is from RNAcentral. Lineage: Archaea; Thermoproteati; Candidatus Bathyarchaeota.
GCCCCGGUAGCUCAGCCUGGCCAGAGCGACGGAUGUGCGAGCCGUAGGUCACGGGUUCGAAACCCGUCCGGGGCUCCA